UCAAUGUAUACAUAGAGAUGUCGAUCAAUAGACAAAUACGUAAAAGGGGGAGGGAGAGACCUCAAAGUCGUGCUACUCCAAUAACUUCAAAAUUGUUGGUGACCGCUCUAUCAAAUCCACGCAAUAGUUGCGUACACUCACCGAUGGGUUUGUCACAGAUAACCUGUCAGACAUUAAAAAUUGCCCAAAUUAAAUGUUAGACCAGCUUAGACAGUAAACGGAACAAUAUUCUAAUUUUACUUUACUUAUAACGAAUAAGUGAACAAAGGAAUAAAAAGGAAGUUUGGCAAAGAAUCCCGCAGCUAAUCCCACCAGACACCGCUCUGCAGGCUUAUUCGGGAGUCAAAAUUCUCAAAAUGUACUAAGAAAUGACAUUUGUUUACUAAUCCCACCAACAAGGAGGAAGUGACGUGAAGAGAAUUUACUAAGAAAUGCCAGUGUAUUAAUAUUGAAGGAAAACAUUCACUGACGACCAAAAUCGCUGAUAUAUGCUUAAUUUCUCACUCACUAAGAACGUUCAAUUCAUUCAAAUGAAACUUCCACAGGAAGGUCUCAUUAUUAAGGCUUUAGCUUCACCUCACAUGCUCAAUAAUUCAAAUUUGAGGAUGAUAUUUCUCCAAAUGGAGGGCUCUAUUUGGCUUGCCAACAAUCUUACUCACAACUAUCAUCCUUGCUAUAUCGGUUGCACUGAGCAAUCUUCAUUCUGACAUUUGCCCUAUUAACCUGAGUACACAAGAAUCCGAAACAACUGUUAGAAAUUUUAAUCUUUAUAUAUAGCCAAAAUGGUGAAUAAGAUGAUGUACUGAUAAUAAAUACCUGAGUUAAUAAAUAAUUAAGGGGCCGGUAACAAUCUCAGCAUCUUAUCAAGUGGGGAAAGCCUUCGCAACGAAGAUGCUGCUUGCUUUCAAGCAAAUAACUUUCCAAUUCCAUAAGAUAGCUUAAUGCCCUUUUAAGAAUAUCUCCACCAGCCUAACAAUUAUUCAUGGAAAUCCAAUUUGCAUUUGUCGCCUUCAAUUUGCUCAUCUUUGUCUAGAGUAUUGUUUUUGCAUUAACUUAGCUAGCUUGCAAACCACCUGCAGAUGGUUUUAAAUAAUGUGUGAGAGUGUGAAUUCAAACGAAUUAAUUAAAUAUGAUGACAGGAGAAACAAAAUUAAAAUAACCACAAGAAGUAGAAAUAUACUUUUGUUAUAUUCAGAGUAUCUCCUACUGUCUUCAUUUCCCUUAGCUCUGUUUCCUUUUGUGUUCGAAUGCAAUGCCUCAAGGCUCAAGAUAAUUUGAUGACCAUCAAUCUUUUUGCAGCCACAUGUAGACUUGAAAAACUGUUGGCGGCCCUAAAGAACUUGAAAAUUAGAAAAGAUUCAGAAUGAGUGACUAAAUAUAAUAAUCGAAACUAAUUAAACAAACGCGCCUUGAAAAUCUGAAACUGAAUUACUCAAAUGUAUAUGCUGUAAGAAACCAAACAGUGAGAUAACAAAUUAUAUGUUAGCUAAUUUAAACAAUAGUGUAAACUAGCAAUCGGAAACAAUAAAUGAAGAACAGAAGAAGAAGAAACCGAAUUGAAAUAAAUAAAUAAAAAAGAACCCGAGGCCUGCACAAAAACAGUCUCCUUAAAACAGAUUUACCACCUAUUCGGAGUGCUUAAGGUCUAAUGGUAUCUGUUUCCCAGGAUGCAACGGGUACGAACUUCCAGUCAAGCACAAGCUGGAAAUUCCGGCGAACCACAAUAGUGAACUCGAUCAGAGAAAGACGAAGAAGAAUGAAGGGAAAACAAGUGUGCUUUGUGCUCGUUUUUUGCAAGUGGAAAAAACAGAAGUGAAGGUGUCUUUUUAUACUCAAGGGAGGAUGUAACAGCUUUUGUAUUGAAUUUUCGAAUUCAAUACAUUUUAAUUUAAUUGUUAUGACAGCCAAAUCAAUUUAACGAAUUGAUUUCAAAAUUGAAUUUAAAAAAAACGUGAAUAACAGCUAAAAAUAAUUGUAAAAGCUAAUUUGGCUGUUACAAUAAAUUGUGCCUGUUACAAAAUUGAAUUUAAAAAAAACGUGAACUGUUACAAUAAAAAAUUCAAAAGGAAUUAAAAAACGUGCCUAGCUUGCUUGAUUUUGGGCUGACGUUCGUGUACGCAGGCGCACACGAGUUCAACCCCAAAUUGGGCUUUGAUUCGCACCCCCCCCUGCGCACGCUUGUG
This 2183-nucleotide long non-coding RNA is filed under the name Citrus sinensis (sweet orange). RNAcentral's name for it is "long non-coding RNA (CSIN_LNC005250)". The record is from RNAcentral. Lineage: Eukaryota; Viridiplantae; Streptophyta; Magnoliopsida; Sapindales; Rutaceae.